Molecule: long non-coding RNA, 7114 nt
Organism: Cavia porcellus (domestic guinea pig)
Lineage: Eukaryota; Metazoa; Chordata; Mammalia; Rodentia; Caviidae
Exons: 5
Source: RefSeq, a predicted model, not a curated record
ACUGAUGCUUUAUCAGAUAACUCUUACCCAACCACAAUCCCAUUAGGUAAUGCACAGUUACACUGAAAAUAUUUAGCAAUAAUUUCAUAUUUUUGUCUAAUAUACAACUUAUAUUCAAGUUUACAAGAUUGGCAAAAAACCAAUCAGUCUUCCUGAGGGGAAUUAAAUACAGAGCCUUUCCAGUGAGCUCCAUCCCAGGCCCGUUUUUGCUUUUCAUUUUGAAACUAGGUCUCAUUAUGCCAUUAAAUUGCCCAGGCUGGCCUCAAACUUGCAGUCCUCUACCUCAGCUUCCCUAAGUGCUUCUAAGUGCACCAGCACACAUGGCUCAGCAGGGUUGCGUUUAAACUGGGUCUUUUUUAAUUUUAAUUUCUUUUUUUGAGACAGAGUCACACUGUGUUGCUCAGGCUGGUCUUAAACAUACAGAGUCUCCUGCCUCAGCCUGCUGAGUAGCAGGGAUUACAAAUGUGUGCCACUGAACCCACCUCCUUAAACUGGGACUUCAUAGUUUAUCCAGGAGAAAAAGGAGGGGGAAAGGGAGGAAAGCCAUUCUAGUAAAGGCAGAAAAAAAAGUUACAAUACUUUAGAGAAAGGCAAACUUUACCCCAGGGCUGGGGACAGGGACUUAGGAGGUGCGGAGGCCAUGAAGCCCGAAGGUGGCCAGAGGCAAAUGAUAAGGAACGCCAAGCAGGGCCCCUGUAGGCAGCGAGAAGCCCUCACCAGUUGCUAAGCAAAGGAGUGACAGGGUCCCUGUGCAAGUGGUCUUUCUAGAUGUCUAAGCUGUUUGCCUGUCACACAGGAUGCCAACAACUGAAAUGACCAAUGAGGCGAAAGAGGAAGAACGUAUUCACACAGCCGUGCGUGGAGGCAGGAGGGAUUUUUGAGAGGGAGGAAACAAAGUUACCAGUGCCUUGAAAGGGGACUUGCUGUGUUGCCCAGGCUGGAAUUGAACUUGAAGUCCUCCUGCUGGAACCUCCCAACUAGCUGGGAUUCUGUGUAGACAAGGGCCACCUCCUCCAGCUGCAUUCUUUUGGACUCCCCAUUGGAUCAAACUCACAACCUCAUGCUUACCAGGGAUCCCAGGCCUGUGCUCCCGCCAGUCUGAGCCCUCUACUCUGGAGGCCGCCUGCACACUGAGAUGAGGAGACCAAAUUGCUCCAGGAAAUGCAUCGCAAUCCCUGGGACCUGUCACUGCCACCUCACAGAUAAAAGGACUUCGCAGCCCCAAUUAAGGUUAUGUAACUUCAAACAAGAAGAUCAACAGGAUUAUUCAGAUGAGAUCAGUCUUACAAGCCUUGAAAAGCAGACAACUUUCAUAGCUAGAAGCAAGAGUGACUGGCAAAGACGUCCCAGGCCCAGCAUGUGCGGCUGCCUGAGGCCGAGUCUGCUCCAACCUGGGAAGGAGACUGGGAAGCCAGUGGCCUCUUGCUCCCAACAGCAGGAAGUGGGAACACCAGCUCCACGAUGGCCAGUUGCUGGAUUCUGCCACCACCCGGAAUGGGCAUUCAGAAUCCAACCUACUGACACCUUGAUUUCACCCUCACGAGUCUGGGGCCAAAGCAUUCAGCUGAGUCAAACUGGAUUUCUGAAUGACAGAGAGUAAGAUAACAAACUUGUGUUAAGUCUUUUUAUUUUUGAUAGGGCCAUAGGGCAGUGGCAGAGCACAAACCUGGCAUGCAUGAGACCUUGGGUUUGUUCCCUAGUUCCAGGGGGAAGAAAAUUAUACUUGUAAUUUGUUUGGACAACAGAAAACCAAUACAACAUCUAAACUACAAAGCUCAUGUCAGAUUUCACUUCACAUUUUCUAAUGACUCUUUUUUUGUUGUUGUUUGUUUGUUUUGGUUUUGAUUCUGUAAGAUAGGAUUCACUGUUCACGAUGUAGCCCAUGCCGGCCUUGAACUCACAGCCGUCCCUGCCUGAGCCUCCUGAAUGCUGGAAUUACUGGGAUGUGCCACCUCCUAAUGACCUUUUAUGGCCUAAAACAAGGCAGAGUUUAAACUCCUUAGUGUGGCAGGAACAACUCCCAUGACUCAAUCUCCAACUCUUUUGAGACCUGAGCCUCCCUUCCUGCCCUGAGUAUGAUUUCUUGUUCUUUUGGAGUACACUCAGGGCAGGGACCAUCUUCACAGGAGGAGCCUCCUGCUAAGUCCUCCUCAGUACCUGGAUAGUUGUGAAUAGUACUGUCAUAGUGCAGCAUUACUGUGACAGUGACGGCAUGCACAGUGACACUUAGAGAGUAUUGCAAAGAACCGUGUGUGUGUGUGUGUGUGUGUGUGUGUGUGUGUGUGUGUGUGUUUUCGUCUUAGGCUCUAACUUCCUUGAGGACUGGAUCAAUUCUUAGUCAUGUUUUUUUUCCUCACUGCCCUACACACAGUGGAUACUCAAAAAAAAAAAAAAUGUUACUUAUGUGUCCUAUUUGGAAGAAAAUGCUUUGGCAACUGAAAAAGGAGUUCAUCCCUGUACAAGGAGAUCAGAUCGGAAGGCUGUGCGUGCGUCAUUUCUUGCCGAGGAGGACAGGGUUUGGCUUGUACCCCAGCAGUGUUCCCCUGGAACUGGCCUGUGGAGAGGCCCUCCAGCUCUGAUCAAGCUGCUCUCCUCCGACAGCAAGCAUUUCAUAGAACACAACUGCUGACCUCUGAGGCAGAAAGAACCUCCUUCCUUGAAAACCUGUGCAUCAGCAGGAGCUCCUCAGCAGCCACCCAUGUCACCCUUGCCACUGACUACUCUUUAGGGGGCUUUUGAGGUAAGAAGGCUGCUAACCUGGGACGGCUCUGCUCAUGUGCCGGAGGUUCCAGCCCAGCGCCGAGCUGGGAUGCAAAUUUUCCCAACUAAUACAAGCUGAUGAGCACAGAGGCACUGGCUUUUCCUCUUAGACUGACUCAUGUGAAGGACACAUCUUCACAGACUGCAUUAAAUACUCAUUCCUCAAGAUGGCUUUCUUUGGGGGGAAAAUGCAUUCUGUAUCCAUUCACCUCUUCCUUCUUUCCUUCCUUCCUUAACAAUUAUGUAAUGCUCCUAUAACACCUUUUUUUAAGUACUGAAGGUUAAAUUUACGGCUUUCACACUGAGCUACAUCUCAGCACCCUCCACUCUCUUUUGAGGCAGGGUCUCACUGAGUUGCCCGGGCUGUUUGAACUCGUAGUCCUCCUGCCUCAGUCUCCCAGAAUCCUUGGAUUACAAGUGUGCACCACCACGCCCAGGUUAUAUCACCAGUGAGGCAAUGGCAGGAUUCACAGUGUCUGCAAAAGCGCUAAAAACCAAGCAAACCCUCAGAAACACUGCUCAGAUGAAGGGCUCCUGCCACGUCUGAGGGAUGCUAACAUGACGACAGCUAACCCUCCUUUCAAAUGUUGGUUUCAAGCAGAAGUAACACUUGCUUUUUUUCCUUUAUGCUUUAUUUCUGUUUGAUUUUUUAUUCCUGCACAGGUUUAGGAGUUUAACAGGCAUAGAAAAUUUUGUACUUUUAACUGAAAAUGAAAAUUACAUUUCAGUUUUACAGCAUCUAUAUCGAGAGCCAAACAUUCACCAUUAGCUAAGAGUGACAAUGCUGAACUGAUAAUCCUCUGCACUCUCUCUCCCUGACCUUGUCCUUUCUAUAAAUGAGUACACAGACAAGCCAGAGCGCGGAGCCUUGGAGAUGACGCUCAAACAUCAGGCACCACCGUGACGGCGUCCGCUUUUCCACCCGCUCUACCUGCUGCAACCAGCAUGCAUCACCGACACCAACUGGGCUCCCGUCAGGAAACGGUACAAAUACCCACAUUUUGUCUAGACUUGUAAACAUCGUCAUCAACAUUCAAAUGUGUAAAAGUUUGAGCAGUACCCUGAGUCAGAUAACAUGAAAAACAGUUCUCAUUCCUUCCAGCAGAAAAUCCAGUCUUCUUUUCCAGGCCCAAAAGGUUUCCUUGCCAUUUGCCCUUCAUCCUCUUCUUCCCUCUGUGUUCUUGACUCUCUCAUUUCCAGGAAAGUCGUGGUCUCCCACUGUGCUCUGGUCUGGUUUGGCUCUCUUUGGUGCUGGCGUCAAACCCCAAGGCCACAUGCAUGCCAGGCAAGCCCUCCACCACGAGCUAACUCCACAGCCUCAUCUACUACUUGUUCCCUUUUUUGUUUAACUCAUUGUAUUAGUACAUGUUUGCAGCACAUAAUGGUUAUGUCCAUCAUGGGGAGUUGGUCUAGGUGCUGGGGAUUGAAUUCAUGACCUCACACUUGCCAGGCAGGCACUUGUGCUGCUGAGCUACAUCGCCAGCCCUCAAAACACAUCUCCACUCAUUUUGCCUUCCUUUCCUCUCCUGUCCCCUACCUCCUUCCAUUUCUGGGUCUUGUCUACCACUUUUGAAGUUUUUCUUCUUUUCCCUUUAUUUGUCCAAAUCAGCCCAUAUCCCUGAAGUCUCAAUUUUUCCAUGAAGCUAUUCCUUCCUUUUCUGAACUUUUAAACAGUUUAUCAGAAUGCAAACAAUUUAGUCGUAAACAAAUGUGAUGACUGUGGGUUUUUGGGUUUUGUUUUGUUUUUUGAUUCUGGGGAUUCAAUCAGGACCUUCCUAUAGAGCUAGUUACCCAGUCAUUUUUUUAAAAAUCCAUUUUAUUCAAAGAUAAAAAUAAAGAAAAAAAGAGGAAAGGAAAAAACUACAAAACGUCAAAGCACACCAAUCAGGGGGCAACAAUAGUACAUAUACUGCACAUUGCUAGCCCCAAAUCAUUUGCCCAGAGCACAAGACAUCUACAUUCAAUUGUCUGAAUGAAAGCAGCACAAACCUUUCUCUUCAGCAAACUCAGAGAAAUCAGUAGUAUAAGUAUCCUAACUUAUAUAUAUAUACAUAUAUAUAUAUAUGUAUGUAUAUAUAUAUGUAUGUAUAUAUAUAUUGUCUUUUUCCUUUUUAUCCAGCCUAAUACUUAUAUAUUUUAACAUAUAUAUAUAUAUAUAUACAUACACAUAUACAUGUUUUUUCUUUCACCUUGUCACACUAAUGAAACAAUACAGUGUUUACAUAUGUGUGUCUUAUUUCACUAAUGAGUACGUACUCAAGGUGCAUCUAUUUACCUAUGAAAGUCUUCAAAUUAUCCUUCUGUAUGGCUGAGUAGUAUUCCAUUGUAAAAAAAAAAAAAAACCACAUCUUUUUUAUCCAUUCCUCAGUCUAUGGGCAUUCAGAUUGUUUCCAAGAUCUAUUAUAAACUGUGCUGCUAUUAACAUAGGUGCACAAAUAUCACUGUGGUAUGUUUUUAAUUCUUUUGGGAAGAUAUGCAGAAGGAAAUAGGAACCUUCAACCCUAGUUUUCCGAGGAAUCUCCAAACUGAUUUCCACAGUGGUUGCACCAGUCUGAAUUCCCACCAACAGUGGAGAAAGUUCCACUUUCCCCACAACCCCUCCAAGCAUUUCUUAUUGCUUGAUUUCUUGAUAGUAGCCUUUCUUUAGAGUGGGAGGUAGAAUCUCAGUGUUGUUUUAAUUUGCAUCUCUUGAAUGACCAGUGAUGUUAAGCUACAUUUUUUCAUACAUUUAUUUGCUGUUUGUAUUUCUUCAUCUGAGAAGUAUGUAUUCAUCUCAGAUGCCCAUUUUUGGAUUGGGUCAUUAAAUCUGGGAGGACUGACUUUUUUGAGUUCUAUAUGUUCUUGAUGGUAAUCCUUUGUCUGAGGAACACCUGGCAAACACUUUCUCCCAUGUCAUGGGUUGUCUCUUUACUCUGGUGGAGGCUUCUCUUACUGUACAAAAGCUUUUCAAAAAGGAAAAAAAAAGCUUUUCAGUAGGGUGAGAUCCCAGUUGUUGAUUCUUUGUGAUAGUUCCUAUGCAAUCAGAGUUUUGUUCAUAAAGUCUUUGCCUACUUUAUCUUCCAGCAGAUUUAAUGUUUCUAUUUUAAUAUGAAGAUCUUUGAUCCAUUCUGAUUGUAGCUUAGUGAAAGAUAUGGGUCCAGUUUUAAUCUUCAGCAUGUAUACAGCCAGUUUCCUAGCACUGUUUAUUAUAUUUAUUUAUUUAUUUAUUUAUUUUGUCUUUUUCUUUUUUAUGGGUACCGGGGAUAGAACUCACGACUGCCUGCUUGCAAGGCAGGCGCUUAUGCUGCUGAGCUAAAUCUCCAACCCCUUUUUUUUUGUCUCCAGCACUGUUUAUUAAAGAGACUAUGUUUCUUCUACUGAGUGUGCGUGGCACAUUUGUCAAAGAUAAGGUGGCUGAGUGUGUCUGCAGUUGUUUCUGCUUCUUUUUUUUUUUUUUUUUUUUGUCUUUUUCCUUUUUACCGGUACCAGGGAUCGAACUCAUGACUGCCUGCUUGCAAGGCAGGUGCUUAUGCCGCUGAGCUAAAUCCCCAGCCCCUGUUUCUGCAUCUUCUAAUCAUUCCACUGAUUUUCAGGUCUGUUUUUUUUUGCCAGGUCCACACUGUUUUUUAUCACAGUAGCUUUAUAGUAUAAUUUCAAGUCAGGGAUUGUGAUACCCCCUGUCUUGUCUUUGUUGCCCAGGAUUGAUUUUGCUCUGUUAGGUGUCUUCUGGUUCCAGAUGAAUUUUAGGAUUGUUUUCUCUAAUUUUAUGAGAUAUGCUAUUGGAAUUUUGGAAGUGUGGCCAUUUUCACUAUAUUGCUUCUUCCUACCCAAAGGCAUGGUGUAUUUCUCCAUUUUCUAACAUUCCCUUCAAUCUCCUUUUUCAGAGUACUGUAGUUUUCGAUGUAGAGGUCUUUGACAUCCUUUGUUAGAUUGAUUCCUAGUUAUUUCAUUGUUUUUGAUGCUAUUGUAAAAGGUAUUGUUUCUCUGAUUUCUCUCUCAGUGAGUUUGUUAUUCAUGUACAAGAUGGUUAUUAAUUUUUGAGUGUUGACUUUGUAGCCAGCUAUAUUACUGAAUUUGUUUAUUAAAUUUAGAAGUCUUUUGGUGGAGCUUUGGGGUCUUCUAAAUAGAGUAUAAUAUCAUCUGCAAAUAACUUCUUCCUUUCCUAUCUUUAUUCCUUUUAUUUCUUUCUCUUGCCUAAUUGCUCCAGCUAAGAUUUCCAGGACUACAUUGAAUAAAAGUGAAGACAGUGGACGUCCUUGUCUUGUUCCUGAUUUUAGGGAGAUAAUUUUCUGGGUUUUCCCAGUUAAUAUGAUGUUGGCUGUUGGUUUGUCAUAGAUAACUUUUAUCAGAUUGAGAUAAAGACCAUCUGUUCCAA